Pelobates cultripes (western spadefoot toad) is the source of this 504-nucleotide non-coding RNA. NCBI's taxonomy places the organism in Eukaryota, Metazoa, Chordata, Amphibia, Anura, Pelobatidae. The record is from the annotation of a GenBank genome assembly.
GUUUACAUGUUAGAGGGAGUGGGGUAUAGUGACAGUAACAGAGGGAUUGAGGGUCCUGCUCAGUGAGUUUACAUGUUAGAGGGAGUGGGGUAUAGUGACAGUAACAGAGGGAUUGAGGGCCUGCUCAGUGAGUUUACAUGUUAGAGGGAGUGGGGUAUAGUGACACAGUAACAGAGGUAUUGAGGGUCCUGCUCAAUGAGUUUACAUGCUAGAGGGAGUGGGGUAUAGUGACACAGUAACAGAGGGAUUGAGGGUCCUGCUCAGUGAGUUUACAUGUUAGAGGGAGUGGGGUAUAAUGACAGAGUAACAGAGGGAUUGAGGGCCCCGCUCAGUGAGUUUACAUGUUAGAGGGAGUGGGGUAUAGUGACAGAGUAACAGAGGGAUUGAGGGCCCCGCUCAGUGAGUUUACAUGUUAGAGGGAGUAGGGUAUAGUGACACAGUAACAGAGGGAUUGAGGGCCUGCUCAGUGAGUUUACAUGUUAGAGGGAGUGGGGUAUAGUGACA